AUGUGUCACUUUAGGUAUGUUUGUAUUUUUGGUGGAUUUUGGACGCCCGACUUUUACUCUUCCCAUACAGCAAUCGCUUCACGUUCCCUAUUGCCUCUCUCUAUCCUUUUCAGUUUGUAAACUCAAAAGGUUUCAUCUGUGUUAUUUCUUUGGAGCUUGUCCUUACCUUUCAUGGCAGCCUGCGGCAUCCUCUGCGAAGUAAACACACUGGAAGCACGUCCGAGGCUCCGAGACCAGGUGUAAUUGUCUACAACGAGUGCAAAGGAAGUAUAUUUGGAGCUUAAUGAAUCAAUUUUGGAAGCUAAGGAACCCACCCAAGGAAGAUAGGAUCAGCGAAGCACGAACAGGGCGAAAAGCAAAAGAAGGAGCUGCCUCACGCCCACCCACACGACCGUGAGGCCACUAAAACCCAAACAAGACCCGCGAUCACCUCACGACCAAGCUCAUGACUGUGAGGUAGCUAGGCCAUGGGGUCUGCAUAGAAUUCUAUUUAAGCAGCAUAUUUUCUGCAAUUUUGGAGAUUUCAAACCUUAGACUUGUUUAGAUUAUUUUUUUCUCUUCUCUUUAGAUUUCCCUAUCAUAGUUUAGCUUAGUUUUACAUAGAUUUCUUUAAUUUCAAGCUUGGAUUGCGGAUUGGAGUUGGAUUUCUUCUUCUUAAUUAGUAAAGCUUUCUCUUUCCCUUA
Long non-coding RNA from Ipomoea triloba (trilobed morning glory), 683 nucleotides. RefSeq lists it as uncharacterized. The transcript is spliced from 2 exons. The record is from RefSeq and is a predicted model, not a curated record. NCBI's taxonomy places the organism in Eukaryota, Viridiplantae, Streptophyta, Magnoliopsida, Solanales, Convolvulaceae.